Molecule: small RNA, 680 nt
Filed under: Pongo abelii (Sumatran orangutan)
Lineage: Eukaryota; Metazoa; Chordata; Mammalia; Primates; Hominidae
Description: retained intron
Source: RNAcentral
AUCUUGGGGCAGGGGCCAUUUUGGAAGCAUCUUGCGAGGCUCCGCUUCUGCAAGUAUGGAGAAGGCAAAAGGCAAGGAGUGGACCUCCACAGAGAAGUCGAGGGAAGAGGAUCAGCAGGCUUCUAAUGAACCAAAUACAAUUGCUUUGCCAGGAACAUCAGCAAAGAGAACCAAAGAAAAAAUGUCUGUCAAAGGCAAUAAAGGUAAGAGGUCUUCAAAUCCUCAAAUCCCACCUUCUUGGGUCUUAGAAGCCAGAGGAAUUUUUCUGAAGAAGAAAAACUAGGGAAGAAAUUUCCAUCAUGUAUUGUGCAAAUCCUACACUUCAUGGAAGCCUAGCUUAAACUGUACCUUCCUGAAGCAUCUUUUGGUCACCACUGCUCUAACUGAUCCCUUCCUAUCUUCAGACUUCCACAGCAUAUUUGGUUCUGCUGAUCAUUUUUUCCUUCACUUGCUACUUGGAGUUAAGGAUUUCAGUGUGCAAUGAUUUGGGAACAGACAGCUGUAAAUUUGAAGACGCAUUCUUGAAACCGGACUUUGUAUUCUAAAAAUAAGUUAGGACAAUAUCUACCUUUAUUAAGGGGUGGGAAUGGAGUGUUAAAAUUUACAUAGAGUAGUUAAGUGAAGCACUCAGACUAUGCGUGAGAAGUAAUAUGUACAAAGUAAACCCUACUAACUAUUAG